GAUUACGGAUCUGGAUAUCUUCGGGCCGAAUCCUCUCGAGCGGCAGCGGGAUUAGGGCGAGCGACGGAGGCUCGGGCGAAUGAUGCGGGAUUAGGGCGAGCGACGGCGAAGGAUGCGGGAUUAGGGCGAGCGACGAGCUGCGGAUGCGGGCGAGCGACGGAGGCUCGGGCGAAGGAUGCGGGAUUAGGGCGAGCGACGAGCUGCGGAUUAGGGCGAGCGACGGAGGCUCGGGCGAAGGAUGCGGGAUUAGGGCGAGCGACGAGCUGCGGAUUAGGGCGAGCGACGGAGGCUCGGGCGAAGGAUGCGGGAUUAGGGCGAGCGACGAGCUGCGGAUUAGGGCGAGCGACGGAGGCUCGGGCGAAGGAUGCGGGAUUAGGGCGAGCGACGAGCUGCGGAUUAGGGCGAGCGACGGAGGCUCGGGCGAAGGAUGCGGGAUUAGGGCGAGCGACGAGCUGCGGAUUAGAGCGAGCGACGGAGGCUCGGGCGAAGGAUUAGUGAGCACGUUCCUCUCGCCAUGGGAUCCAAUUCAACACCCGCAGCGAAUACAGUUUCUGAUGCAGAAAAGGAAGCUGAAGUUGUUGCUUCUGAAGAAAUAGAGACAGAAAUAAGUUGUGGAAAAAAGAGGAAGAAUAGGAAGAGGAAGGAAUCAACUGAAUGACAACUGAAAUGGAGUUGAGAUUGCUCGAUUUUAGGUUUUAAUCAAGAAGAAAAAAUCUUCGGUUAACUUUUAUCAAGAAGAAAAAAGAACACGUUUCGAGAUUAAUACAACCUUUAACUUUUUUCAUCUGGACUUGGAAUCGAGGGUUCAUUAUUUGGGUGUAGAACAAUGAAUAUUAUGUCGCUUCUAAUCCAGUUUGAGAUUAGAGAAUGGGCUGACUCCAUGAUGUGUCUACAGCCGCGCUCGUUUGGUAAGUUGUUCUUUGCCAAGUCAGACUCUGUGGACAGGGUAACAUUGGCAUUCGGAUGAAAUUUUUCGGAGGAUGAAGAUGGAAAAUGUUAAGACCAGUUGAGCUAGAGGAGAUGAAUGACUCACUUAAAUUUUUUGGUUGAUUUGAUUUUGUACAACAUAAAUUUGAAGAUAAUGUUAACUUUUUGUAUUUACUUAGUACAAUUAUUUCAAAGAGGUGAUUAGUUCAAGGAUUCAUAGACCAGUUGAGCUAGAGGAGAUGAAUGACUCACUUAAAUUUUUUGGUUGAUUUGAUUUUGUACAACAUAAAUUUGAAGAUAAUGUUAACUUUUUGUAUUUACUUAGUACAAUUAUUUCAAAGAGGUGAUUAGUUCAAGGAUU
RNA transcript from Zingiber officinale, 1288 nucleotides. RefSeq lists it as uncharacterized. NCBI's taxonomy places the organism in Eukaryota, Viridiplantae, Streptophyta, Magnoliopsida, Zingiberales, Zingiberaceae. The record is from RefSeq and is a predicted model, not a curated record. The transcript is spliced from 4 exons.